AUUCACCCCUGGCAUAUGUCCACUUGGAGGGGGGCUCUCCAAAAUUUCCGAUAAAAGGGUGUCUCGUCUCAAUGUAAGAGGCUACAAUUCCAACGUUGUCCUCAGCUUGCCGCCUGCCUACACUAAGGACUCUAUUCCAGUGAACCGUACUCACAUCCCUAAUUGUGACAGCACGACAGUGGAAGCAUCUAUCUACAAUAUCGGACAAAAUUCCACCGUUGCAGGAUUGUGAGAUUGGUCUCUUGAUCGGCUACAACUGCCCAAGGGCUUUGGCACCAAAACAGGUGAUUUUGGGAGUAGAUGAUGAACCUUAUGCAGUCCACACAGACCUGGGAUGGAGCAUUGUUGGUUGCCUGUCUUCACACCAUGAAUCGCAAGGCUUUAACACCAUCUGUCAUAGAGUUAACAUUAAAGAGCUCCCCCCAGUGACUCCAGCAGAGGUUAUUAAAGUAUUGGAGUCUGACUUCAAGGACGCUGGUGAACAUAGCAAAACUGUGUCACAGGACGACAUCCUCUUCUUGAACAAACUGCAGCAAAGCUUAAGGAAGAACGACCAAGGUCAUUACGAGAUGCCUCUCCCCUUCAAAAUAAGACCCCAUUUGCCCGACAAUAAGCAGAUGGCCAUCGUAAGGACAAUCAUCUUAAAAGAAAACUGCUAAAAGAUGAAAGGUACAAAGAACAUUAUUUGAAGUUUAUGGAAGAAGUCAUUGAGAGAGGUGAUGCAGAAGAAGUUCGAGAUAAAGGAAAGGAUGGUGAGAAGUGGUACAUUCCACAUCAUGGGGUGUACCAUCCGAAGAAGACAGACUAGCUCCGUGUCGUCUUCGACUGUUCUGCCAAGUACCAGGGGACCAGCCUCAAUGAUCACUUGCUCCAAGGCCCAGAUUUAAUUAAUAAUCUAACUGGUGUUCUUGUAAGAUUUAGACAACAUCCCAUUGCUCUUAUGUGUGAUGUUGAAAAGAUGUUUCACCAAUUUCAUGUAAAAGAUGAAGAUCGGAACUACCUUCGUUUUCUCUGGUGGAAAAAGGUAAACUUGAAUUCACACCCAAAAGAAUACCGCAUGAAGGUCCAUCUUUUCGGUGCAAGCUCAUCACCUGGAUGUGCCAACUAUGCUCUAAAACAUCUUGCUAAGAAGAGUGAGGCUAUGUAUCCUCUUGGCUCAAAAUUUAUCACAACAAACUUUUAUGUUGAUGACGGUGUCACCAGUGUAGUCAGCAAAGAAGAAGCUGUUCAGGUAGCAAGAGAAGCUCGACAGCUGUGUGCCUCAGGUGGUCUUAGACUGCACAAAUUUAUCUCAAAUGACAAGGAUGUCCUGAACAGUAUUCCAAUUUCUGAACGAGCCGUUGUAGUGAAGGAGCUUGAUCUCAACUUUGAUGACACAACUCUAGAGAGAGCUUUAGGGAUCCACUGGCACAUUGAUUCUGACAGAUUCAGAUUCUCUGUUAACCUCAAGGAUCAACCAGCAACACGCCGUGGCAUACUGUCCACAGUUGCUUCACUGUAUGAUCCGCUGGGCUUUAUUGCCCCUUUCGUGCUCAAGGGAAAAUUAGUGCUUCAGGAGAUGUGCAGAAACCGAACAGGCUGGGACGACCCUCUUCCUAAUGAAUUGUAGCCAAAGUGGGAGCAUUGGAAAGUGGAUCUUGUGAACUUAGAAAGAAUCAGUCUACCCCGCUGCUAUGUGCCUGCAAGCUUUGGAAAGGUCAUCAAAAGGGAACUUCAUCACUUCUCUGAUGCCAGCAACAGUGGAUACAGCCAGUGUUCUUAUUUAAGACUUAUGAAUGAAGAAGGAAACAUCCAUUGUACCCUGGUCAUAGGUAAAUCCAGAGUUGCUCCCACUAAGGUCCAGACUAUUCCCAGGCUUGAACUUACAGCAGCCGUCAUCUCACUUGCCAUGAGCAAUAUGCUUAAACAGGAGCUGGAAUAUGCAGAUGUAGAGGAGCACUUCUGGACUGACUCAAAGGUGGUUUUGGGAUAUAUAAACAAUGAAGCACGGCGCUUUCAUACGUUUGUGGCAAAUAGAGUGCAAAAGAUACAUCUUAGCACUACUUCUCAACAGUGGAGAUACGUUCCCACUAAUGAAAACCCUGCUGACCAUGCAUCGAGAGGCUUAAGUGCUGGCGAGAUUCUCUCAUCAAUUGGUUGAUGGGGCCAAAAUUUUUAUGGAAGAAGGAUAUUCCUCUUGUUGCAGAUAUUGAUACAGCGCUAACGAUUGGAGAUCCUGAAGUGAGACAGAUUCAAGUACUGAGUGCAGAAGCAACAGAAGUUAGCCUCUCAGACCGCUUGUCAAAGCUGUCUUCAUGGUCGAGAGCUGUUCAAGCUGUGGCUCGGCUCAUUCGCAGAGCAAAAGGGAAUAAGUCCAGCUGUCACAGUACAGUAGCUGAACGAGAAGAUGCUAAACGCAUCAUCAUUAAGGACCUGCAAGGAAACGUCUUUCCAGAGGAUAUCAAGGUAUUAAGAAAGGGGGCCCGGCUGUCACCUAGUAGCAAGCUGUAUCGUCUUGAUGCCUUCCUAGAUCAAGAAGGAGUACUCAAGGUGGGAGGAAGACUUUGCAAUGCACCUCUACCCAGCUUGGUCAUACACCCAGUGAUCAUCCCCAAAGAUCACCACAUCACAAAGCUGAUCAUAUCUCAAUGUCAUGAGAAUGUCAAGCAUCAAGGAAAGGGUCUCACAAGUAAUGAAAUCAGAUCGCAAGGCUACUGGAUUCCAGGGUUGAAUAGAGCAGUAGCAUCCCAUUUGCAUUACUGUGUGACAUGUCGGAAGCUCAGGAGACCCACAGAGGAACAAAGAAUGGCUGAUCUCCCAUCAGAGCGUACACAUCCAUCUCCACCAUUCACAUACUGUGGUAUGGACUGCUUCGGUCCCUUUGUCACCAAACAGGGUCGGAAAGAAUAUAAAAGGUACCGCCUCCCCUUCACAUGUCAGAUUCAGAUGCUCCAGGGCUAUUCAUAUUGAAAUGCUAAAUGACAUGUCUACAGAUGCCCUCAUCAAUGGCCUUCGCUGUUUCAUUGCAUUACGAGGAGCAGUACGUCAAAUCAGAUGUGACAGAGGCACAAACUUUGUAGGAGCCAAGAAUGAGCUAAGGAAUGCACUAAAGGAAAUUGAUGCAGAUCGUCUGUCUGUGUUCCUGGCUGAGAAGCAGUGCGACUUUGUCCUGAAUACGCCCCAUUCAAGUCAUGUAGGUGGGGUAUGGGAGAGACAAAUCAGAACAGUAAGGAGUGUUCUUCGCUCAGCGCUCUCACUCUCUUCUGAAAGACUGGAUGAUGCAUCACUGCGGACAUUCUUGUACGAAGCUAUGUCGAUUGUGAACAGUAGACCACUCUCAGUUGACAAUCUUAAUGACCCCAACAGCCUUGCACCUCUCACCCUCAAUAACCUGCUUACCAUGAAGUCUGUCCCAGCAUUACCACCACCAGGCAAAUUCAUCAGAGAAGACAUCUAUACAAAGAAAAGGUGGCGUCAUAUUCAGUACCUUGCCGAGCAGUUUUGGAGUAAGGAGUAUCUGUCGAACAUUGCCAUCAGGCAGUGCUGGCACUCAGUAAAGAGAAACUUGCAAGUGGGAGAUAUUGUCAUGGAAAAGACUGAUCUGCCCAGAAAUGAGUGGGGGUUGGCCAGAGUUACAGAGACUACUACAGAUAAAGACGGACUUGUCAUUAUCAUUGAACACCCAGUCCAGAAGCUGAUCCUGUUGCUAGAGACCGUCUAGCUGCUUCCAAGAGCAACCAAGUGUAUCCUUUUCAUCAUACCACUUAAAUUUGUUUACUUUAGUAUAGACACUUUUGUCCAUUUUUCUGUAAUUGUUGAAAAUCAUUUGUGAUUUAUAUUCCUCAAUGUCAUACAAUUCAAUCAUGAUCUGGUGGGAGUGUAAAUGACCAUUAAAUUCCCCAACCAUCGAAGUGGUUCUUCACCUCCUUCUACAUGGUUUGAAGACAAAUAUUCAGCUGAAUAUGGAGAAAAGGGGGACUCUUUAUUUUUGUAUUAUCGGUUUUGUUCCACCUAUAUUUUAUGCUGACAUUGUGGAUUUAUUUGUUUUAUUUAGUAUGCGAGUUUCUUUUCACAUACUUUUAUUUUGAAGUUCGAGAAAAGAAGUUUAGCGGUGCUGUUUGUAUAUGGGGGCGGUAACGCAUUCUGAGCAGCAAGCGCCAUUUUUAGUUAUUAAAACUGAUUAAAGAAAACUUUAGCGUGCUCACUGUAAAUAUAUAUUUCUAAGGAUAUUGUUCUACCUCUUAGCUCCUGGCUGAUGAAGGGCACAAGGAAUGUGGCUGCAUCACUCUUGUCUUCACCUGCACCAGCUGCAACACUUUCACCUUCGUUUGAUGCUCGCACAGGGGCACGCAGCAACGAGAACAAUAAAGAGAAUGUGGCUGCAACACGUUCUUCGUCUGACACUCGCACGAGGGCACGCAGCAACGCGACCGACAUUCAUCCAGUGAAUGUGUCUGCAUCACCUUUACCUGCUACUCACACACGCCGUAGGUCUCUUUCAGUUCUCAAAGCAACUGAGACUAAUGUAUUUAACACUGACAGUGAUAAUGCACCUGUUGCAAAGAGACUCAAGACCAACAUCCAGGCAAGCAGCAGGCAGUCCGUUCUGUCAUGGAAAACAGAGACUGAUAUUAAUGUUGUUCCACACACUUUGAGUUUCUUUCCUGCACGGGAACCUGGACCACAAGCUGAGUCCUGCAGAUGCACACACACACCCCUGAGUCUCUUCAAAAUGUUUUUUCAUGAGAAUGCAGUGCUCAGGCUGCCAGGGCAACAGCAAAGGGUUGCAGCGCCUCUGAGAUGUACCGUUACAUUGGACUAAUAUUUUAUAUGGCCAUGGUAAAAUGAUCUCCAUCAGGGACUACUGGAGACAGGACGAUAUUUUGUCUGUGGCUUUUCCUGCCAAAGUAAUGUCAAGAGAUAGAUACCACACUAUUUCAUGGAAUGUGCACAUGAGUCACCCAGAAGAAGACAAGGAAAAUGACAGGAAAAGGGGCACAGCCAAACAUGACUGUCUUUUCAUUGUCUCUCUAUUGUAUUGUUCAUGUUUUUUUUAACACUGGUAAAAUAAAAGUCUUAUUUUGUCAAGUACAGAUAUAAAUAAAAUCUUAAUUAUUUUGUACUUUAUUGUACACUUUUUUAUUAAACUACAAG
Molecule: long non-coding RNA, 5133 nt
Organism: Tachysurus fulvidraco (yellow catfish)
Lineage: Eukaryota; Metazoa; Chordata; Actinopteri; Siluriformes; Bagridae
Exons: 5
Source: RefSeq, a predicted model, not a curated record